This 601-nucleotide ribosomal RNA is filed under the name uncultured bacterium. RNAcentral describes it as "bacterial SSU rRNA". It matches the Rfam family "Bacterial small subunit ribosomal RNA", at positions 338 to 947 of the family's 1533-position model. The record is from RNAcentral.
CCUACGGGAGGCAGCAGUGGGGAAUAUUGCGCAAUGGGCGAAAGCCUGACGCAGCGACGCAGCGUGAGGGACGAAGGCCUUCGGGUUGUAAACCUCUUUCAGCGGGGACGAAGCGAAAGUGACGGUACCCGCAGAAGAAGCACCGGCUAACUACGUGCCAGCAGCCGCGGUAAUACGUAGGGUGCAAGCAUUGUCCGGAUUUAUUGGGCGUAAAGAGCUCGUAGGCGGCUUGUCACGUCGGAUGUGAAAACUCGGGGCUCAACCCCGAGCCUGCAUUCGAUACGGGCUAGCUAGAGUGUUGCAGGGGAGACUGGAAUUCCUGGUGUAGCGGUGAAAUGCGCAGAUAUCAGGAGGAACACCGGUGGCGAAGGCGGGUCUCUGGGCAACUACUGACGCUGAGGAGCGAAAGCGUGGGGAGCGAACAGGAUUAGAUACCCUGGUAGUCCACGCCGUAAACGUUGGGCGCUAGGUGUGGGGAACCUUCCACGUUCUCCGUGCCGUAGCUAACGCAUUAAGCGCCCCGCCUGGGGAGUCGGCCGCAAGGCUAAAACUCAAAUGAAUUGACGGCUGNGACGNGCCGACGCGACGACGAGGGAGUAGG